Molecule: ribosomal RNA, 205 nt
Filed under: uncultured bacterium
Lineage: Bacteria
Description: partial 16S ribosomal RNA
Rfam family: Bacterial small subunit ribosomal RNA
Source: RNAcentral
GAUGUCAAAUAUGAUGGCUCAACCAUCAAGAGGCGUUGAAAACUGUUUAUCUAGAAUCUCGGAGAGGUAAGUGGAAGUUCCAUGUGUAGCGGUGGAAUGCGUAGAUAUAUGGAGGAACACCAAUGGCGAAGGCAGCUUACUGGACGAAGAUUGACGCUGAGGUGCGAAAGCGUGGGGUAGCAAACAGGAUUAGAUACCCUGGUAG